GACGAACGCUGGCGGCGUGCUUAACACAUGCAAGUCGUACGGUAAGGCCCUUUCGGGGGUACACGAGUGGCGCACGGGUGCGUAACACGUGAGUAACCUGCCCACAACUUUGGGAUAACGCUAGGAAACUGGUGCUAAUACUGGAUAUGUGCUCCUGCUGCAUGGUGGGGGUUGGAAAGCUCCGGCGGUUGUGGAUGGACUCGCGGCCUAUCAGCUUGUUGGUGGGGUAGUGGCCUACCAAGGCGGCGACGGGUAGCCGGCCUGAGAGGGUGACCGGCCACAUUGGGACUGAGAUACGGCCCAGACUCCUACGGGAGGCAGCAGUGGGGAAUAUUGCACAAUGGGCGCAAGCCUGAUGCAGCAACGCCGCGGGCGGGAUAACGGCCUUCGGGUUGUAAACCGCUUUCAGCAGGGACGAAGCUUUUUGUGACGGUACCUGCAGAAGAAGCACCGGCUAACUACGUG
This 465-nucleotide ribosomal RNA is filed under the name uncultured bacterium. Its description in RNAcentral is "partial 16S ribosomal RNA". It matches the Rfam family "Bacterial small subunit ribosomal RNA", at positions 28 to 507 of the family's 1533-position model. The record is from RNAcentral.